This 450-nucleotide ribosomal RNA is filed under the name uncultured organism. RNAcentral describes it as "partial 16S ribosomal RNA". It matches the Rfam family "Bacterial small subunit ribosomal RNA", at positions 333 to 799 of the family's 1533-position model. The record is from RNAcentral.
ACACUCCUGCGGGAGGCAGCAGUGGGGAAUAUUGGACAAUGGGCGCAAGCCUGAUCCAGCCAUGCCGCGUGAGUGAUGAAGGCCCUAGGGUUGUAAAGCUCUUUCACCGGAGAAGAUAAUGACGGUAUCCGGAGAAGAAGCCCCGGCUAACUUCGUGCCAGCAGCCGCGGUAAUACGAAGGGGGCUAGCGUUGUUCGGAAUUACUGGGCGUAAAGCGCACGUAGGCGGAUCGAUCAGUCAGGGGUGAAAUCCCAGGGCUCAACCCUGGAACUGCCUUUGAUACUGUCGAUCUGGAGUAUGGAAGAGGUGAGUGGAAUUCCGAGUGUAGAGGUGAAAUUCGUAGAUAUUCGGAGGAACACCAGUGGCGAAGGCGGCUCACUGGUCCAUUACUGACGCUGAGGUGCGAAAGCGUGGGGAGCAAACAGGAUUAGAUACCCUUGUAGUCCCAUG